CCUACGGGUGGCAGCAGUGAGGAAUAUUGGUCAAUGGACGCAAGUCUGAACCAGCCAUGCCGCGUGCAGGAAGACGGCUCUAUGAGUUGUAAACUGCUUUUGUACGAGGGUAAACGCAGAUACGCGUAUCUGUCUGAAAGUAUCGUACGAAUAAGGAUCGGCUAACUCCGUGCCAGCAGCCGCGGUAAUACGGAGGAUUCAAGCGUUAUCCGGAUUUAUUGGGUUUAAAGGGUGCGUAGGCGGUCUGAUAAGUUAGAGGUGAAAUCCCGAGGCUCAACUUCGGAAUUGCCUCUGAUACUGUUCGGCUAGAGAGGAGUUGCGGUAGGCGGAAUGUAUGGUGUAGCGGUGAAAUGCUUAGAGAUCAUACAGAACACCGAUUGCGAAGGCAGCUUACCAAGCCACUUCUGACGUUGAGGCACGAAAGCGUGGGGAGCGAACAGGAUUAGAUACCCGAGUAGUC
This 460-nucleotide ribosomal RNA is filed under the name uncultured bacterium. RNAcentral describes it as "partial 16S ribosomal RNA". It matches the Rfam family "Bacterial small subunit ribosomal RNA", at positions 338 to 795 of the family's 1533-position model. The record is from RNAcentral.